Molecule: small nuclear RNA, 153 nt
Organism: Pan troglodytes (chimpanzee)
Lineage: Eukaryota; Metazoa; Chordata; Mammalia; Primates; Hominidae
Rfam family: U1 spliceosomal RNA
About the family: U1 is a small nuclear RNA (snRNA) component of the spliceosome (involved in pre-mRNA splicing).
Source: Rfam
AUACUUACCUGGCAGGGGAGACACCAUGAUCACAAAGGUGGUUUUCCCAGGGCAAGACUCAUCCAUUGCACUCCAGAUGUGACCUCUAUGAUUUCCCCAAAUGUGAGAAACUUGACUGUAUAAUUUGUGAUUAUAAUUUUUUAAUUAAAAAAU